RNAcentral lists this long non-coding RNA (200 nucleotides) under Eucalyptus grandis. Its description in RNAcentral is "long non-coding RNA (EGRA_LNC007201)". Lineage: Eukaryota; Viridiplantae; Streptophyta; Magnoliopsida; Myrtales; Myrtaceae. The record is from RNAcentral.
CGCGAGCGAAACCCGCUGUUACCUGUUCGCAGAGAAGGCGUGGUGCGGCGGCGAACGGUGGCGACGACGUUGGACCAACACGACCGGGGAAACUUCGCUACGGCGGCUUCGAUUUCGCGUUGGCUCUUCAAGCUUCAGAGCAGAAGCGGCUCGUGGGGUAGAUAGCAGUAGCAACUGGCGUCGGGAUCUCGUGGUUCGUG